CCUACGGGCGGCAGCAGUCGGGAAUAUUGCGCAAUGGAGGAAACUCUGACGCAGUGACGCCGCGUGCAGGAAGAAGGUUUUCGGAUUGUAAACUGCUUUAGACAGGGAAGAAAAAAGACAGUACCUGUAGAAUAAGCUCCGGCUAACUACGUGCCAGCAGCCGCGGUAAUACGUAGGGGGCAAGCGUUAUCCGGAUUUACUGGGUGUAAAGGGAGCGUAGACGGCUUGGCAAGCCAGAUGUGAAAGGCUGGGGCUCAACCCCAGGACUGCAUUUGAAACUGUCAUGCUAGAGUGUCGGAGAGGCAGGCGGAAUGCGUAGUGUAGCGGUGAAAUGCGUAGAUAUUGGGAGGAACACCAGUGGCGAAGGCGGCCUGCUGGACGAUGACUGACGUUGAGGCUCGAAAGCGUGGGGAGCGAACAGGAUUAGAUACCCUUGUAGUC
Molecule: ribosomal RNA, 441 nt
Filed under: uncultured bacterium
Lineage: Bacteria
Description: partial 16S ribosomal RNA
Rfam family: Bacterial small subunit ribosomal RNA
Source: RNAcentral